RNA transcript from Magnolia sinica, 779 nucleotides. RefSeq lists it as uncharacterized. The transcript is spliced from 5 exons. The record is from RefSeq and is a predicted model, not a curated record. NCBI's taxonomy places the organism in Eukaryota, Viridiplantae, Streptophyta, Magnoliopsida, Magnoliales, Magnoliaceae.
AACAGAAAUGAGCAUGUUGCAAUCACUUAAUAAUGUCUCCCUUGCAAGUUCCAUUCUUGUUUCGACUUUGGCAUCACCAUUUACAUUAGCCAUGCAUUUGCUAAAUUUGCCAAAGCUUUAUAAUCUUUUUGCAGGUUGGUUCUUUAGAUCCUGGCAAACUCAUAAAAAUACUCAAAUCAUCAAUACCCAGUCUUGUGCUAUUUCAGUUCUUAGAAAGACAUUGAAAACUAAGAUAACUCUGAAAUGGGCAUUAGCACUGGUCAAGUGACUCAAACCCAAGACUGGUGAAUGCAACUGCAAUAGCUUGGCUAUUGCAUUCAGUGAAUUGGUUUUCUCUUUAGGUAGACUUUUGCACUAAUAACUUCAUAUAUGUUUUUCUGUAUCCUUAUCAGAUUUUACAAGUUUUAAAGAACUGUCUAACUUUUAAGUGGGAGCAGAAAAUCAGGAUUUUGAUGUCUACAUUUGACAUGAAGGAUGAAUCCAAGGAAGUGAUUUGGCAAGGUGAGAUUGGUGGAGUAUAUGCGGCUUUGGAUACAUUCAAGGCUGAAAAGGCAUUUCCUAUGUGCAAACUCACACGUUUGUUGCGUGAUUCAUUGGGUGGGAGGACUAAGACAUGUAUAAUUGAUGUUGGUAGUGGGAGGAAUGCUAAUACUGGAAAGGAUAAUGGGGUCAAUCAAAGCACCGACAGAGGCCUUACAUCCACCUCUUCACCAGUUUCGCAGGACAUAGAAAAUAAGGCAACCAUUCCAACCAUGAGGUAAACUUCAUUUAUAGAUUUU